RNAcentral lists this transfer RNA (75 nucleotides) under Clostridia bacterium. RNAcentral describes it as "tRNA-Arg". It matches the Rfam family "tRNA". Rfam says of the family: Transfer RNA (tRNA) molecules are approximately 80 nucleotides in length. The record is from RNAcentral. Lineage: Bacteria; Bacillati; Bacillota; Clostridia.
GUUCUCGUAGUUCAAUGGAUAGAAUAAGCCCCUCCUAAGGGCUAGAUUCGGGUUCGACUCCCGGCGGGAACACCA